This 280-nucleotide unclassified non-coding RNA is filed under the name Helotiales sp. RNAcentral describes it as "partial contains 5.8S ribosomal RNA, internal transcribed spacer 2, and large subunit ribosomal RNA". The stretch from base 1 to 71 matches the Rfam family "5.8S ribosomal RNA", at positions 84 to 154 of the family's 154-position model. The record is from RNAcentral. Lineage: Eukaryota; Fungi; Ascomycota; Leotiomycetes; Helotiales.
GUGAGUCAUCGAAUCUUUGAACGCACAUUGCGCCCCUUGGUAUUCCGAGGGGCAUGCCUGUUCGAGCGUCAUUUCAACCCUCAAGCACUGCUUGGUCUUGGGCUCCGCCGCUAACCCGGCGGGCCUUAAAACGAGUGGCGGCGCCAUCAGGCUCUGAGCGUAGUAGAUUUCCUCGCUACGGAGUCCUGGUGACGGUGGCCAUCAACCCCCAACUUUCUCAGUUUGACCUCGGAUCAGGUAGGGAUACCCGCUGAACUUAAGCAUAUCAAUAAGCGGAGGA